Molecule: unclassified non-coding RNA, 940 nt
Filed under: Hevea brasiliensis (rubber tree)
Lineage: Eukaryota; Viridiplantae; Streptophyta; Magnoliopsida; Malpighiales; Euphorbiaceae
Source: RNAcentral
UUUGCCCAUUUUUUCAAGCUGAUUCUGCAGCAUACAGGAUAACAAGGAAACAAGCAAAGGACCAUUGAUUGUCAAAUGGUAAAAGUAUAUAAAAAUAGUAUAUAUUUAUAUAUAUUAGAUGAAGAGAAAUGAAAAGGAUGUAUGUAAUACUCACAUUCACAUACUACAUACAACAAGUAUAUAUUUAUCAACCCAUAAUCUAAGUAGAAAAUUUAAUGAGAAAUUUAGGAUAAAACAACAAUGUCCAGCAAGAAAAGGCCGUGAUGCUUUGUGCACAUACAUAGACUUGAACAUGAUUACAUUAACAACUAGUAGCAAUCAUGUAUUGGCUUAACUCAUAAUAGAGCUCCUAAGCUUCAGGAAAGUAACCUACUGAAACCACCUAAAUGAGCCAUUAGCCUACAAAUUAAACACAUAUUGAACCUGGUCAAGCUUUGCUGGAAACAUACUGCAAAUGAGGACAGCCACAUCAAUAUAAAACAUUCCCACUAGUAAAAGCCAUAAAAUUUGACAAAGAAUUACCCUCUCUCUUCCAAAGUUCAUCCUGAAUAAAAGUUGGCGCACAAAACCAAAAUGGGCAACAGUGUUACCAUCAAGAAAAAAUUUUGAGCCCGAGUAAAGCUCAUUGUUCCUCCUUAAUAGUUUGAUCGUUAAUAUUCUAACGAGCAACUUCGAACUGGAAAAAUCCCGUCACCAGAAAUUCAAGAAAAAAACUUUUCAUAAGUCUAAAACAAAGAAAUGUGGAGAAGCACGAACAAGGACAACAAAAACAAGAAUAAUUCUGACUGAAAAAUCAUAGAAUAAAAAAAAAUAGAAAUUAAAAUAUCUAAAAAUUAACACGAAAACGAAGAGAAAAGAAGCGAUGUAUCAACAGCCACGCUCUUAAUCCUUUCCCUAAUCUCAGCUAAAAAGUCUAACCAAAGAGAGAGAGAGAGACAGA